Molecule: long non-coding RNA, 394 nt
Organism: Lagenorhynchus albirostris (white-beaked dolphin)
Lineage: Eukaryota; Metazoa; Chordata; Mammalia; Artiodactyla; Delphinidae
Exons: 3
Source: RefSeq, a predicted model, not a curated record
CACCCACUGUCCUACUGCUGGGGCUCUUCCAUCAGGCCCCAACUUCAACGCCACCGCCUCCUCAUUGAAGCCCUCCUCUGUCUCCUGGUCUGAUGUUUUCCUCGGCUCCCGCAGUGUCUGGGACCCCCAUUACAGCUCCCCACCUCUGCUGUUCCUUUAACCUCCUGCGUCUUUGUCUCUGAAGUAUCCACAGGGCCCAGUGAUCAUCACUAAAUUGAGUUCUGAAUCCAUCCUGCAUCCUUCUUUGCAGUGGCUGCCAGGAGGCUCAGUGGCACCUGGCUCCUUGCUGAGGUGUCUGGCAGAGGAGGCUGGCCUGCCCAAGUCUGCCCCCAGCCAAGCAGGGAGGGGUGAUAAACAUUUGUCAACUCAGAAGUGUCCACGCAAGGCGGACAGG